RNAcentral lists this ribosomal RNA (1160 nucleotides) under human gut metagenome. RNAcentral's name for it is "bacterial LSU rRNA". It matches the Rfam family "Bacterial large subunit ribosomal RNA", at positions 805 to 1991 of the family's 2925-position model. The record is from RNAcentral.
UGAGGUGUGGAUAGGGGAGAAAUUCCAAUCGAACCCGGAGAUAGCUGGUUCUCCUCGAAAUAGCUUUAGGGCUAGCCUCGAUUUAGUCUUAUGGAGGUAGAGCACUGAAUUUCCGCGGGGGCGUCAAAGCUUACCAAAGAAUAUCAAACUCCGAAUGCCAUGUAGAUGAUGAUCGGGAGUCAGACUGCACGAGAUAAGUUGGGCAGUCAAAAGGGAAAGAGCCCAGACCACCGGCUAAGGUCCCAAAGUGCGUGUUAAGUGGAAAAGGAUGUGGGAAUUCGAAGACAACUAGGAUGUUGGCUCAGAAGCAGCCAUACAUUCAAAGAGUGCGUAACAGCUCACUAGUCGAGAGUUCCUGCGCCGAAAAUGUCCGGGGCUGAAACACGACACCGAAGCCGUGGACUCGCAAUGCGAGUGGUAGAGGAGCAUUCUUAAAACCGACGAAGCUGUACCGGAAGGAGCAGUGGAGGGAUAAGAAGAGAGAAUGCCGGAAUGAGUAGCGAGAGAAAGGUGGGAAUCCUUUCGGCCGAAUAUCUAAGGUUUCCAGAGUAAAGCUGAUCUGCUCUGGGUAAGUCGGGGCCUAAGCACAGGUCGCAAGACGUAAGCGAUGGAUAACAGGUUUAGAUUCCUGUACCACGCAUUAUCAGAACUGUAGGGACGCAUGUGGAAAGCACGGGCCGGGAAUGGAAAGACCGGUACAAGCGGGGUAGGUGUACAACAGGCAAAUCCGUUGUAUAAUCCGAAGACGUGAUGUGGAGCGAAAUAAAGUAGUGAAGCGUGUGAGCCAUGUGCCGAGAAAAGCUGCUAUUGUGUAAUGCGUGCCCGUACCGUAAACCGACACAGGUGGAUGAGGAGAGAAUCCUAAGGCCGACGGAAGAAGCAUUGUUAAGGAAUUCGGCAAAAUGACCCCGUAACUUCGGGAGAAGGGGUGCCUGCGAGAGCAGGCCGCAGAGAAUAGGCUCAAGCAACUGUUUAGCAAAAACACAGGUCUAUGCGAAACCGAAAGGUGAAGUAUAUGGGCUGACGCCUGCCCGGUGCUGGAAGGUUAAGAGGAGAGGUUAGCGUAAGCGAAGCUUUGAAUUUAAGCCCCAGUAAACGGCGGCCGUAACUAUAACGGUCCUAAGGUAGCGAAAUUCCUUGUCGGGUAAGUUCCGACCCGC